AAACCGGAAACCGUCCCCCAUCCUCCUCCGACGCCAAACAGCUGUCGACAGCUCGGAGCUCGCCGCUCUCAAACGGACCCGUCACAAAUCUACCCACAAUCCUCUCUGUCCUGUCCAACGCGCUGACAUCACCAGCCGGUCCGGACCGUGAUGAGGUUUUACAAGAUGUAGAGCUGGUCUCCUCUCAGGAUCACGUACCGGUUCCUCCACAGCUCCCUGAAGAUCCCGCGGCCGCAAAACUUCCUGAUCCAACCGACUUUCUCCGGCUGCUGGACGGCCGGCUGACCCGAGUCCUGGACCUGAAACACCAGAGCAACAGGCUCAGAGAAAGACUGGAGACCAGUGUAGUCUGAUGGAAACACCACAGCAACCACUGUAACCAUCAGAAGCCCAUUUUGCAUGCAGACGGAUGUCAGCAAACGCACACGCUGGCACGGACGGUCAGGACCGAGGAUCGAGGAUCGAGUGUGUGAACGAUCCUCGUGUGCACGGAUACACAAACACACACAACAAAUGCUGAAUGGCAAAAAAAGGAUAAGAAAAGGCUG
Molecule: non-coding RNA, 548 nt
Organism: Plectropomus leopardus (leopard coralgrouper)
Lineage: Eukaryota; Metazoa; Chordata; Actinopteri; Perciformes; Serranidae
Source: RefSeq, a predicted model, not a curated record